Long non-coding RNA from Pistacia vera, 386 nucleotides. RefSeq lists it as uncharacterized. The record is from RefSeq and is a predicted model, not a curated record. NCBI's taxonomy places the organism in Eukaryota, Viridiplantae, Streptophyta, Magnoliopsida, Sapindales, Anacardiaceae. The transcript has 3 exons.
CUGUUAGAUAAUAUCGUGCUCUGGACGUAUACAGGAGGUUCCUCAUGAGGGCCCAAUGUGUGAUCUCUUGUGGUCUGAUCGGAUGACCGGUGUGGAUGGGGAAUAUCUCCUCGUGGUGCUGGAUACACCUUUGGACAGGAUAUUGCUGACAGUUUAAACCAUACUAAUGGGCUCAGUCUUAUUUUAGAGCUCACCAGCUUGUAUGGAAGGAUACAAUUGGUGUCAGGAGAAGAAUGUGGUGACAGUGUUCAGUGCACCAAAUUACUGCUACCGGUGUGGAAAUAUGGCUGCAAUUCUUGAAAUUGGGAGAAUAUGGAGCGAACUUUCUUCAAUUUGACCCAGCUCCUCGUCAGAUUGAACGGAUAAUACACGCAGGACCCCAGACU